AAUUAAUUCUGUUCUAACUGAAACCAGGACACUCCCCCAUCCCACUGCAGGGGGGGAGGGUGAGCAAAGGGCUCAGUGGUGCUUUGCUGCCGGCCCUGUUAAACCACAACAGUCAAGGAGAUUUAUAUAAACUGUCAGUCAGAUACCAAGUCUGACCCUCAACAAACCAUGAAUAGCUAUGUUUAAACUAGAUACCAGUUUUUGCUUGCUGAUCUGGUUUCUUCCACAUGACCUUAAAAAAGCUAUCCUCAAGACAACUAGCUUUCCAAGCUUUGUAUUAUAUACGCGUUUAUAUGGGCACACAUCAUGCAUUCAUGCAAAUAAAAUCUGCAGGACAUGGAGAAGAGGAGAAGAAUAGAAGAAGCAUACAAAAAUGCUUUGACAGAACUGAAGAAAAAGUCCCACUUUGGAGGGCUGGACUAUGAGGAGGGUCCUAAUAGUCUGAUUAAUGAAGAAGAAUUCUUUGAUGCUGUUGAAGCUGCUCUCGAUAGGCAGGAUAAAAUGGAAGAACGGGUAUCGAUGCUUGAAAAAUGUUAAUGAUGGGCACUUCAUAGAAGACUUUUGUGACUUAAACUCAAUCCUGGGGUGCAUCUCCUGAAACUCUAGAUAUUUUAUACUGACACUUAUAAUUGGAAUUUAGUUCUUAAUUUUUGUAUGGUUGAAUACUGUUGCUUAACACUAAUUUUGAGAAUGUGACUUCACAGUUCACAUAGAAAAGGACAGUAUAAGUGUUAACCUAAUGGAAUAUCUCUGGUUUCUAAUUCUUAAAGAAGUAUAUUAGGGUCCUGUAUAAAGCUUAUCUUUGUAUUUGUGAGAAAAUUUAAUUAUCACAUACGUAGCUAAUGCCCUGUGCAAGUAAGAAUAUCAAACACUGCAGCUAUUUCUCAAAUCCUAAUUACUGCCCUGAAGUUUCUUUUGGUGAUAGCGGUAUGUGAAAUAGGAAAGAUAUAGUUCUACUGAUGUUUCUUUUUUAUUUUAAAAAAAUGUGUAGGCUCUAGCUACUUCUCUAACUCAUUUCUUGAAUACACUUCUGUGGCAAGGAUGAGAAAAAGAUGAAAAAGAGAUAAAAUGCAUGGGAUUAAAUAUAUAGUAUAUGAGAACAUAUAGUAGCGUAUAAAAUGAGAGGGAAUAACAAAGUGGUACAUCCUUUGUCUUAAGCAUUUAGGCUUGUGAAUACACUGACUUGGUUAAGAAUUAUAAGACUUACCAGUAGACAUACAGUAUGCAACAGAAUUUACCUAUGGUGGGGUCUCUUAAUGGCAAGUAAAAGUUUUGAGUGAUUGUUACUACUACAUUGAUGCAACAUCCUUAAUGCUGUUGAUCAAUUUUCCUUAACCCAGAAACAUACCUUGAAGUAUAGAUGAAUGGGUAAUUCAGUCUCCAGGCCCAUUCACUUAUCUGAGAAGUCCAGCAGGACACUAACUUAAUGCCUGUCAGGGACAGCGUUAGUUCUUGUUUUAAUGUGGUAGCCACUAUAUAGAUUGAGGAUGACUCACUGCUUAAUAGUCUACCCAGUAAUAUCUGACUACCAAUAAUUAAACCUAUUUUGUUGCAGUCUCAAAGUGAAAAGGUCAGAUUGCACUGGCCAAUAUCCUUACCUUCUGGAGAUGCAUAUUCUGCUGUGGAGGCUCAUCGAUUUGUUCAAAAGUAAUAUAUUUUCCAUGGUCACCUCAGACUAAUGGGAUGACAUGAUGUCCUGGUUUCAGUUAGCACAGAAUUAAUUUUCUUCCUAGUAGCUGGUGGAAUGCUGUGUUUUGGCUUAGGAUGAGAAGAGUGCUGAUAACACCCCGAUGCUUUAAUUGUUGCAGAGCAGU
Anas platyrhynchos (mallard) is the source of this 1814-nucleotide non-coding RNA. The record is from RefSeq and is a predicted model, not a curated record. NCBI's taxonomy places the organism in Eukaryota, Metazoa, Chordata, Aves, Anseriformes, Anatidae.